CAACCUGCCAAAGAAAGUAAACACAGAAGCAGAAGAAGAAGAUAGAUAGAUGGUGAAUGGCAGCGGAAACAGCAGAAAUGAAUGACAAACAAAUGCAAAGAAAAUGUUGAAAUCGCGAAACGUUUGCUGCAGCUUAUCCGUCAGCAUUUCCAGAUUCUUGGUCAACUUGUAUUCUGCCUCGAAUUUCUCAGACAGCAGCACCAAAUCUCUGGCCGCAUCGUGCAGCGGCACAUCGGAGAUGUAAAGUCCCUUUCUAUGUUGGGUGGAAUCAAAACAAAACAAUACCGAAAAGUAAGAGAAAUGACACGCAUUUCGUUUUACUUAAGUCUAUUUAAAUUUGCUUGGCUUCUGAACCAGCGAAAUAGCAAAUAAAAUAAAAUAUGUACAAGAGCCAGACGCCCCCAAAAGGAAAAAAACGAAGAAAAAUACAACAACGACAGACUGAGGACUCUGUACGUGGGCGAUAUGUCUGGCAGGUCUAGGUUUCUGGGUUUCUGGCCAGGUGUGGCGCAAAAACAUUUUUACUGUCACCAAUAAAUUUCGCUAGGUA
This is a long non-coding RNA of Drosophila albomicans, 550 nucleotides long. RefSeq lists it as uncharacterized. Lineage: Eukaryota; Metazoa; Arthropoda; Insecta; Diptera; Drosophilidae. The record is from RefSeq and is a predicted model, not a curated record. The transcript is spliced from 2 exons.